Molecule: ribosomal RNA, 253 nt
Filed under: uncultured bacterium
Lineage: Bacteria
Description: partial 16S ribosomal RNA
Rfam family: Bacterial small subunit ribosomal RNA
Source: RNAcentral
UACGUAGGGUGCAAGCGUUGUCCGGAAUUAUUGGGCGUAAAGAGCUCGUAGGCGGUCUGUCGCGUCGGCUGUGAAAACUCGGGGCUCAACCCCGAGCCUGCAGUCGAUACGGGCAGACUAGAGUGCGGUAGGGGAGACUGGAAUUCCUGGCGUAGCGGUGAAAUGCGCAGAUAUCAGGAGGAACACCGGUGGCGAAGGCGGGUCUCUGGGCCGAUACUGACGCUGAGGAGCGAAAGCAUGGGUAGCGAACAGG